Long non-coding RNA from Bactrocera neohumeralis, 2297 nucleotides. RefSeq lists it as uncharacterized. NCBI's taxonomy places the organism in Eukaryota, Metazoa, Arthropoda, Insecta, Diptera, Tephritidae. The record is from RefSeq and is a predicted model, not a curated record. The transcript is spliced from 3 exons.
UACAUGCAAUCAUAUGAGCAGAUAAUUAGAUAAAUUAUGAUAGACAAUGUAUUUAUACUUAUAUUGUUGUGAUAAAUUCAAAUUCUAUUACUAAGAAACAUAAUACAAAAAUAUUUAUUAGUAAUCAAAUAGUAAAAUCAAAUAAAAUUAUUAAAUAUUCAAGUCCAAAUUGACUGUAAAUAGUACUAUGCAUGCAUUCAUACAAAAUUAUACUCAUAUCAUAAUUAUUUUUACAUGACAAUAUGGAAAUGCCGACGGCAAAACGCAAAAGCAUACAUAUUUGCAUAUGUACAUUGCGAUUCCCAAGUUAAAAGAAAAAUUGAACCAUGAAAAUAUCACAAUGCUGUUAUUGGGAGUAUCAUAGGAGCAUGCAUACAUAUAUUUAUGUCUCUUCAUAUUCUUGGGUAUGUGAGACAGAGAAUAUAAAAAAAUGUCUGUAUGUUCUCUGUGUGAGAGGUGUAUUUUGUAUACAUUUUUCGCUGUCAAAAAUGAAACAAAAUAUAAACAAGCAAAACGAAAUUCUUCGUUGGGAGUGUAAUCGUAGGCAUGCAAAUUAACUUCCCUUGCGUGGGAAGUAUUAAAAAAAAUGUUUUCGUUCGCUACGUGCAGAAGAAAUCAAACACAACGUGUUGGUUUGAGUGCGGUAGUGCUUGCUCGCUGAUUACACACUAUACUAACACUCAUCUUUAUUCGUAAAAUCACUUACAUAUAUUUAUUACUAGCUGUCAAAUCUAUUGCUAUUGCCAUUGCCAAAUCUGUAUGUGGGCAUUUGUUAUCAUAACAUAAUCAUUUGCGCAAAGGCGUAGGGUAGAUAGCACGGUAGAGGAGGAGUAAGGUCACUAUCAGCUGAUGUUAUGUAAACAAAGGCACAGCUGAGAGGUGCCACUGUAGAAACGUCAAGUGUAGUCCGGGGUUGAGUUUCUAUUGAAAUCCAAUAUGGCCGACUUUUAACCAAGAUGGCUGACUUUUAACCGGAAAAUGGUUGCAUUGCGUUAUUUUCUUAAAAUUUAUGGAAAAGUUGUCCCAAAAAUAUUGGUUAUAUGUAAAUAAAAGUUGAAUAUAUUUUCUAAAGAAAAUUUUUUUAUUUUAAUAUAUAUUCUUAAAGAUGAGAACAAUAUGAGCAAAUACAUGAAAAAUUAAGUUUUUUAUUUAUGCCUCUUUUUAACUUACCACAGUAAUAAAUGUUCACCACAGAAAAAUGUUACGAACAAAUAAGCAACCAUGCCGAAUAGUGGGGUCCAGAUUAUGCUCAUUCACAGCCAUAUUUACAUUUUUUCCAUCGUAACAAAGGUUUUUGCAAGACAAUUUGUUUGAGUUUAUUUCAUGGUUAAAUGCUUUAUGAUGGUUUAUUUAGUUAUUUGAAUCUGGAAGAAGUGUGCAAAUUUCCCUUGAGACGAUAAAUAACAGAUCGGGUUGGGGUUUUAUUCCAAUAAAAGUACGGAAUAACUAAACAUGGCCUCGUUAAUAUUAAUGUAAUGGGUCAGGCGCUGUUCCAAUUUUAUGAUUUAAAAGAUUAAAAAGCGAUACGCGAUGCUGUGAAGUACUCAAAUGUAGUUCUCAAAUUAGUUGGUCGUGAAUUCGAGACAAAAUUUUAAACUCAAUGACGUGCUCGUGGAAGGUGCACGUCGCAUUGCUAGAAUCAGCAAAGGAGCUGGUGUAGAACGCUAGUCCAAAACCAAUGAGCUUUGUGCUUGAGGGUGGAAGCAACUUUUUGAGGAGCAAAUACUACGGUGAGCACAUUCGGAUGUUGCACAAGCUAUUGACAAUUGCGCUAAGGAUCCCGAUACUGCUGGUCAGGUUAUUGAAGCUGUUGGAUCAAAGCGUUACCAGUUGAGCGAAUUAAUUGAAACCAGUCAAUCGUGUUAUGCGCAAAAAUUAAAAAUGCGUUGUAUCCUAGCUUCCUAUUGAAAGCCAAGUCGUUUGGAUGUACAAUUGACCUCCAUGGAAGAGCAAGUACCAUGGAAAUUACGACCUUAUCGUGCUGCGCAAUAUUAUGAUGCCGAAUUGGGAGAGUGGGAGGAACCAGCUCCACCAAAAUCGAUAGAAGAACUACGUAUGUUUGCAUAAAACUACUAUAAUGGCAACAACGCUAACAACAACAACCAACCAAAUAUUAAACAACACUCAUCAAAUGAAAGUUAGUGGCGUUGGUGGCCAAGCAGCGAUUUAAAAAGAAAUAUUUGCAUCUACGAAUUAUUAUAGUAUGUAAUGUCAAACUUUAGUUAUCUCUCAUGGUCCACUCAUUAUAAAAUAUAAUUUCCAAUUUGUCCAUGAAUAUUUUAACUAAAACGCUUAAA